Brassica oleracea var. oleracea is the source of this 731-nucleotide long non-coding RNA. RefSeq lists it as uncharacterized. Lineage: Eukaryota; Viridiplantae; Streptophyta; Magnoliopsida; Brassicales; Brassicaceae. The transcript is spliced from 3 exons. The record is from RefSeq and is a predicted model, not a curated record.
CUCCUUCUUCGCCGUCUUAGUUUCAACAAAUCCCUACAUAAGCAACGACGAUCUCAUUGCUCUACUCUCCUGUAACGUUUUCUUCCUCAUUCAAUCCUAAUCAUAAGGUAUUGCCAUUAACUCUCCGUCAGGCUUUCCCACUACGUCGAUCUUAAAUAUCAUCUCCCAUCGCAAAAUCCCAAAAGUGUUAUACUAUAAAUAUAGAUGAAGACUUUUCCAAAUCAGAGUGCUUAACCAUCUUCUAUGAAUGUAAAAAGCAGAGUUUGGAAUGUUUGCUCAAAGAAAUUUGUAGGCUUUUCACAAUCGUAAAAUACACCAGUCGAGUUUACAUGGGUGGUCAAGGCGAAAAAUCAAGUUGUAGAAGGAAUGAUGCAUCAUCUGACCCAGGAGUGAAGCCAUGGUUGACCUUCAAAGAGUUGCAGGAAUUCAAGCCCCUACCAUUAAUCUUUCCGUUCUUGGCUGGAAAAAAGGAUGGCCAUGAAUCUGGAUAGAGGGAAGUUCCAGGAGAUGAUCAAGAAGUGCAAUAUGUUUCUUUUGAUCAUGUCAAGACCAUCUAACAAAGAUCUAACUCAUUGUGCCCUUAUGAACUUCACGAGAUUGUGCAUAGUACUUUAGUACAUUUGUAGCGCAAAGUUCUUAUCAAGAAUAAUAGAAGUUUGUUUUGAUCAAAAAAGAAAAGAAAAGAAAGAAUAAUAGAAGUUUGUACGUCACUGAACACCUCUAAAACUCAA